Molecule: ribosomal RNA, 450 nt
Filed under: uncultured bacterium
Lineage: Bacteria
Description: partial 16S ribosomal RNA
Rfam family: Bacterial small subunit ribosomal RNA
Source: RNAcentral
GUGGGGAAUCUUGCGCAAUGGGCGAAAGCCUGACGCAGCCAUGCCGCAUGCAGGAAGAAGGCCUUCGGGUUGUAAACUGCUUUUGUACGGAACGAAACGGUCCGGGUUAAUACCCUGGGCUAAUGACGGUACCGUAAGAAUAAGCACCGGCUAACUACGUGCCAGCAGCCGCGGUAAUACGUAGGGUGCAAGCGUUAAUCGGAAUUACUGGGCGUAAAGCGUGCGCAGGCGGUUUUGUAAGACAGGCGUGAAAUCCCCGGGCUCAACCUGGGAAUUGCGCUUGUGACUGCAAGGCUGGAGUGCGGCAGAGGGGGAUGGAAUUCCGCGUGUAGCAGUGAAAUGCGUAGAUAUGCGGAGGAACACCGAUGGCGAAGGCAAUCCCCUGGGCCUGCACUGACGCUCAUGCACGAAAGCGUGGGGAGCAAACAGGAUUAGAUACCCGUGUAGUCC